ACACAUACGAAUNGAGCGAGAAAGCCCGCAAGGGUGAGUACAGCGGCGCAUUUGUCCGUAACACGUGGGAAAACAACCUCGAAGUCUGGAAUAACUCCCCGAAAGGGGUGCUAAUGCCGGAUGAGACCACGGGAGCCCCGGCUCCCGAGGGAAAAGAUGGCCUCUGCAUGCAAGCUAUCGCUUCGAGAUGAGCCCGCGGCCCAUCAGCUCGUUGGCGGGGUAACGGCCCACCAAGGCUACGACGGGUAGCUGGUCUGAGAGGACGACCAGCCACACUGGGACUGAGACACGGCCCAGACUCCUACGGGAGGCAGCAGUGGG
RNAcentral lists this small RNA (321 nucleotides) under uncultured bacterium. RNAcentral describes it as "bacterial SSU rRNA". It matches the Rfam family "Bacterial small subunit ribosomal RNA", at positions 51 to 358 of the family's 1533-position model. The record is from RNAcentral.